RNAcentral lists this transfer RNA (69 nucleotides) under Pseudomyrmex pallidus. RNAcentral's name for it is "tRNA-Phe". Lineage: Eukaryota; Metazoa; Arthropoda; Insecta; Hymenoptera; Formicidae. The record is from RNAcentral.
AUUUAAAUAGCUUAUUAUUUUAAAGUGCAGUAUUGAAGAUACUGAGAAAAUAUGUUAUAUUUUUAAAUA